CUUGACCUCAUUUUCUUGAAUCAUGUUACGUUUAUAUGAUACUUGUAGUAAAGCAUUUUAUUUAGGACUAUCAGCAUAAAAUCAUUGGUCAGUAAACACCGUGUAGAACGCCACAUGCGGGGUGUCGGCUAUGUUUGACAUGGGGUGGCAAUUUCGAAGCGAAGAAAAACUAACAAGAGGCUUUUGGAUGAAAACGUCACGGUCAAGUGGCAUAUAUCCCGACCAUGAGGCGGACAUGACGACACGAAAACUUUCUGACAAACAACAGACAACAACAAAUGGCAUUAUAAUUCCAAGGGAUCAUGAAUUUGACCUUCUAGCCAGAGGAACAAGAAAACGAAGGAUUAAAAUUGGAGAAAUAUCAGGUCCAAUGGCUCCAGCUCGAGGUGCACUAUCGGUUCCUCAGUACCACCGAAAGGACGAAUCAAAAAUUCUGCCAACAAAACGUUUGGGAAUAGAUCUCAAAGACAUAUAAGACACAUACUUUGAUUGAAAUCAUAUAUUUUUAUUUGUAACAACUCAUUCUGAGCAUUAUUUAUAGUAACAAAUAACAAAAAAUAUAACAAAAAUGUGUUGUUUUCAUUGAAAACUGAUUAAGAAAAGUAAAAUAAUAUGAAUGAAAUCAAAAUAAAAAACAUAGUUCACAUCUGAAUGCUACCUGCAUACAGUAUAAUAUAAAUAUCAAUAUAAAUUAUAUUAGCAAGGGGUUAUAUUAGCAAGGGACAAUACUCUUAUUAAAGUGAUUGAUAGAA
Mytilus californianus (California mussel) is the source of this 752-nucleotide long non-coding RNA. RefSeq lists it as uncharacterized. NCBI's taxonomy places the organism in Eukaryota, Metazoa, Mollusca, Bivalvia, Mytilida, Mytilidae. The transcript is spliced from 3 exons. The record is from RefSeq and is a predicted model, not a curated record.